This is a non-coding RNA of Schizosaccharomyces pombe (fission yeast), 688 nucleotides long. NCBI's taxonomy places the organism in Eukaryota, Fungi, Ascomycota, Schizosaccharomycetes, Schizosaccharomycetales, Schizosaccharomycetaceae. The record is from the annotation of a GenBank genome assembly.
GUUUUCUUCCAAACGCGUCCGAGUCUCUUGAUGAGCAGAACUAUCUGUUUCUCUAGUAAUUGGUCGGCUUAAAGGUUCUUCAAGAAGUUGGACUGCUUGCUCGUUUACUCCAUAUGUACAUGAUUCUUCACUCUCUUUACAUCGAGAACAAGGAUAUUGGCGGUCACAUUUGACUUUUCGGCGCCUGCAUCUCAGACAAGAUCUAGCUCGAAUAUUUUUGUGGGCCCUAUUUUUAGAUUUCCCAACCAUAAUUUACCUAAUUACGGUAUUUCUUCUGUAGUAGAAAGUUGGAUAUUUCUAUAAAAUACAAUUCACCAUAAAAAAUUAUACGCACAAACUAAAGGUUUCAUUCAGUAUUAACCUGAUAACCAUCGAACUUUUAAGCUGGGAUUAUGCUUCAAUUGAAUCGAUGAGACUACUAAUAUUUUACUGCAAACAUUUUUAUGAAUGCAAAGGCGGUGUCAACGUUGUGUGGUGGUAAAUAUUGAGUGUGCAGGCUUAAUUAUUUAAAUUCUUCAACGUCUAAAAUACAGUGUAAGCAUCAGAUCUCGAUACCAUUUUUUUCGCAGAGCUUUUAUUUAGAAGAUUUUUAUAGGGAUCAUUUUUUUAGCCUAGAUGCCAAAGGUACUCAACAAUACGUUCCACAGUUGGGUUUGCAGUUGCUUACAAAAUAAACAGCUAAUUGUCA